UAAUCUUUGACAGAUU
RNAcentral lists this unclassified non-coding RNA (16 nucleotides) under synthetic construct. The record is from RNAcentral.